This 6157-nucleotide long non-coding RNA is filed under the name Marmota monax (woodchuck). Lineage: Eukaryota; Metazoa; Chordata; Mammalia; Rodentia; Sciuridae. The record is from RNAcentral.
UGUGUCUGCCCUUCAGCGGGAGUGUGGGUCUGGACGUCAGCAAAGUUCAGCCUUCCUGGAUGCCACCGUAAGGAAUGAUAAAAUCGAAUCUAAUUUGGGCAAUCAGGGAAAGGGCAAAAACAGGAAGCUCUGGGGUCUUGCUAAACAUGUCAGUGAAGAGAGGAGUCUGUGGACUUUGUGGACUUUGCUACAGUUUCCCAGAGAGAAAUGAAAGUCAGGAAACGUUCACGUGCACAGACAGCCUCACCCCUGCUCCUCAGAGAUUCCCUGAUGAAUUCAUCCCACUUCUAACUCCAUUUUUCUUGCUAUGUUCUUUAGGGAGCUGGGAAGCAGGCUGCGGGGCUUCUGGCCUGAUUUCUGGGCUGUUUUUCUGUGCAGAUCAGAGAGGUCUGGAGGAAGGUAGUGGCCAGUCGAGUGUAUGCUCCCAGCUGCUGCUCAUCAUGCCCCAAAUGGGGGGGAACUGGCAAUCAGACUCUGAGGGAAAGCACACAUAGUGACAAGUACCAGGCCUCAUAAAAAAAUAAUAAUAAUAAAUUAAAAAAAAAAAACAACUCCUAUUAUUUUUGGCAGAUCCUAUUGAAAUGGUUACAUUUUCCAGGCCUCAGAAAACAAAGAUUUCACUUUCAAAACAAGUCCGCACAGAGCAGAACACUCCCUAAUGUGAUGUAGAUGGUAAGAAAUCAUUCAACACCCUGCGCGUUGAAGGCUUCUAGCUUCUAUCUCCCUUCUCCUCUCACCUUUCACAGAUGUGUGUAAUGAUAUAACCGGGGGCGGGUCCCUCUGUUCUGUCUCUUGCAGGUACUUGGGCAAUAACAAGAUGGUGGUUUCCAGAAUAAAUAAUGGAAGUUGCCAUCAUUAGAGAACAUAGGAUGUCAUAUGGAUGCCAAAGCGUUCAGGUCACCCUCUCCUUCGGUUUCAAAUGGUGGAAUAGUCACUGGAGCUGUGUUUAAAGAUCUCCUUUUCAUUUCCCUCGAUAUAUCAUCCUGAAUCCUGGGAAUGGCCUUCACUCCCAAGCCUACCUAUGUGGAUGAUAUUAAGUGUUUCCACAAACAGGGCAACGUCCCUGUUUGGCCUUCCCUUCUCCUUCACUGGCACAUGGCAUUGUACUCCACUGGUCACAAAGCCUCUACUUUGUCUACAGCCCUUCAGACAGAAGGAGAGACAGACCGGGGAGGCUGUCUGCUAAUCUCUUCAUAAGACAAAGUGCAGCCAGAGGAGGGAAGUAGAAAUUUCUGAAGAGGAAUCUGAUCAUGCGAAAGAGACUUUGCUAAAUUUUCCAAGAACCUCCUGUGUUUAGCAAAGUGUGUUGGUUAUGACACAGCUUCGUGAAACAGAAAACUCCCUCCAGUAGCUUUAAAUAAUAUGAACGCAGUGUCUUACAUAACCUGAAGUCCAGAGAUGGCUUGGGUUCCAGGAAAGAUACGGUUCAGUAAUACCCAGUAAUGUCAUUAAGGACAUAGGUCAUUUCUGUCCUUUCUUUCAUUCUGCAGUCCUCAGCACCAGCUUCAUGGGAAGGCUGGUUCUUCUCAAGGAAACAAGAUGGCGCCACUGGAUGUCAGGCUAGGCACUUCUUGUGCACACUCAUCAGGGAGGAGUGAGUGAAUGUGACCAUUCCCAAAGCCCUCUCCAUUAGUCCAGUUGCAUCAGAGUAAGUCAUACAUCCAUCACUGGCCCAAAAACAGCUGUCAGGAAAAUUCCAUGUGCUGAUUGGUGUGGAUCAAAGCAUUAUCAAUAUUUCUGACUGGAUUAUUGUUUGGGGGACUGUUCUGUGCAUUGUUGGAUAUUGAACAGCAUCCGUAGGCUUUUUAGCACAUCACCACCAUGAGUCAUGAGAAUUCCUGACAUUGAAAAUGUCCCUUGGUGGAGGUGCAUAAUAGAGUUCUUGCUAAACAUGGUGGGUAGAUCAUGUGAUCACUAUUCUGAAUUCCAUGAUAGGUCAGGGAGAUAUUUAAAAAUAAGCACAUCACAUAUACAUCUUCAAGGAUGAAAAACAGGAGGCAUCACUAAAUAAGAAACAUUGGAACAGAGAAAAGGAAGGAAACGAGAGGAUGAGUGCAAAAGUGUGUAGGAGAGAGAGAGAGAGAGAGAGAGAGAGAGAGAGAGAGAGGAAGUGGAAGAAAAAGCUAAGGUCUCUGCACAUAGGAAGUUGUAUUAGUCAGCAUGGCUGCCACUAAAAAAAGAAAAAAAAAAAAAAACUCUGCAAACUCUGAGGCUUAACCAACAGAAAUGCACUUCUAACAGUUAUGGGGGGUGGAAGCCCCAGAUCAAAGUGCUGGUCAAUUUGGUUCUGGUGGGGGCCCCCUUCCUGGCUCACAGACAGCUUCCUUCUCUUUGUGCCCUCAAAGGGCCACUCCUCAGUGCAUGCUCUGAGACAGCUCUGACACUCUUUCUUCUUUUCGUAAGGACACCAGUUCUAUCAGCCUAGGGACCAUAGAGACUACUCUUACAACUGACUUCAUUUAACCUUAAUUACCUCUUCAAAGUCCUUAUCUCCAAAUAUAGGUCCUGUUAGAGGUUGGAGAUUUGGCAUAUGAAUCUUGAGGGACAUGAUCCAGUUUAUAAUAGAAGUCAAUAGAAGCUAAAAAGGGGUAAAAUGGAGAAAUAGUGUAUUAUUUAGAAAAGUGGUGGUAAAAAAUAGCCAAGAGUUAGAGGAGACUUCCUGGGAACAAAAAUGGUUCAGAAGACUGAGGCAGGGAAUUGGAUUUUAUGUUGUAAACCUUUGAUUGCUAUCUGCCUUUUAAACAUGUUAAUAUAUAACCUUGGUUAAAAUAGAAAUAUGACUUAGUUUACAAUAAUAGUCAUGUCAGGCAUGGUGGCAGACACUUGUAAUCCCAGUGAGUAGGGAGGCUGAGGCAGAGGGUCACAACUUUAUAGCCAGCCUCAACAACUUAGUGAGGCCCAAAGCAACUAAGUGAAACCCUGUCUCAAACUUAAAAAAAUAAAAUAAAUGGGGUGGGAAUUGGUAAAGGCUCCUGGUUUCAAUACCCAGUAUCAAAAUAAUAAUAAUAAUAACAACAACAACAACAGUAAUAGUCAUUAUGGGUGAUGAUCAUUGUCUGCCUAUAAAACCCAAUUUUCUUCCAUGAAACUUUGCUUGAUUAAUUAAGGCUGGGAUGAAAAGGAAUGGAUUGAGUGACUUAUCAUUUAUUGUCCAAACUAGAGCUCUUCUGAGCAUGAAGGAAGCAUUAUUAGCAAUUCCAUGAAUUAAUCAGUGCAAAGUAAAACACCUCCAAAUAAACUGGAGUUUGUGGUAAGCCUUCUUGUGAGAUAAUCAGGGUCUGGCCUUGUAGCAUAAACCAUAAGGAAGAACUAUUUCAGUGAUACAAGGGUAAAAGUGCAGCCACCCUGCCAGCAUUUGUAGGGUAGCAAACAGGUCAUCUGAAGUGACAUCUACUCCACUGAGCAGCAAUAUCCAGAGAAGUGGUCCCUGACCCCUCUGCCAGUCUUCCUAACUAUCCUCGUCACAUCUUUAUUGAAGAACUCAAUACACCCCUUUGACACUGUGAUUUUUUUGCCUGUGUCUUUCCUUCUCCUUGAGACUCCCCCACCCCCGGACAAAAUUUCAGAAGACACAGGUUGUAUUAGUUUUGUCUUUGUUUCCCCAGAAUCUAACAUAGUAUAAUUAGUAGUAAGUGCUUAAAAUGUUUUUACUGAAUAAAUACUGAAUGAAAUUAUAGUAGGGACUAUAGAAGAUUUCUUUAAAAUAGAAAUGUAAGAAGAAAGUAAGCUAAUAUUUUCAGAAAUCCUUUAUAUGUCAAAUGGGAAAAGGAAAUAAAAUAUAUCUAGAAAGUUAACCAUGCAUGAGAUAAAAUAGCCUACUCAAAUUAUUUAUGUUUUAAAAUUAUUCUCAGAAAGUGUUCUAACCUUGUAGCUGCAGAGUACUUACUUUGCUAGUAUCCAUUGGAGAAUUAGACUUGCUUCUGCUGAUUUUACUUUAUUUUUUUGAGGGUGAACAGUUAGAUAGUGGCUACUCUUGCUAAAAAAUUAGAAGUAGGGCUAUAGGUAUAGAUCAGUGGUAGAGUGCUUGCCUGGCAUGCACAAGGCCCUGGGUUCAAUCUCUAGCACUGCCCCCCCCAAAAAAAGUAAAAAAAAAAUAUCAGAAAUUUUUAAAUAAUAGCCAUAUAACAAUCUGGGAUUAGAACUUCAGGUGGGAGUAUGUAUUGGGUAAAGAGUAGCAAAGCAGUUGUUGAAGUUGUAUGGUCAUUUGGAUAAGUACCAAGAGGAAUUUGAUAAAAAUCUUAGUAACAUGCCUAACAGAAGCUCUUAGUAAACUGAAUAUAGAAGACUGUUUCUUUACUACAUAACAGAACAUUAAUGUAGACCUAAUAGUUGAUGCCUUGUUCAAUAGUGAAAAAAUAAGCAUCUUCAUGUUAAAACCAGAAAAGAAUGUGAGGACUGACUCUCCUGAUGCUAAUUUAACAAGAUACCAUAGACUAGGUACAUUAGAAACUUAAAUAUAUAUAUGAAAAUAAACAACUAACUCUUGCAAAUAAAUGAUAUGACAACAAUAUAAUAUAAAAUGGACAGAACAUUUGAACAGACAUUUCACGAGGGGAGGUAGAUGAAUGGAUUCUAAAAAAUGCUUGCCAUUGCUAAAUAAAUCAAAGCCAUUCUAAGAUGUGAUACACACUUAUUGAAUGACUAAAUUUUAAAAAUCAACAUGUUAGUUUCCUUUUGUUGCUAUAAAAAAUCACUACAAACUUGGUGGCUUAAAAUGACAUAAACCUGUCAUAUGACAUUCUUGAGGUCAGAAAUUUGAAAUAGGGCUUACAGAGCUAAAAUCCAGGUGUCUGCAGAGCUGCAUUCUUCCUGGAGGCUUUUAGGGAGGCUAUUUCUUGACGUUUAGAGGCUUUGUUCUCUCAUUCCUUCCCUGGAAACCUCAGCAUGCUGACCUCUGUUUCCAUCCUCUCGUCUUCUCUGACUCUUCUACCUUCACCUUGCAUCUUUUAAGGACACUUAUAAUUUCAUUGGACCACUUAGAUAAUCCAGGAUAAUCUUCCCCUCUCAAGAUCCCUACCUCUAUCUACAAAGUCUCUUUGGCCAUGUGAUAACACGUUCACAUUUCACAGAUUAGGACAUAGACAUCUUUGGGAGCUAUCACCCACAAAUACCCACUGUUGGUGAGAAUGUGGCAAGGUUUAAUUUUAUGUGGCAACUUGACUGGACUACGGGAUACCCAGAUACCUGGAGAAAUAGUGUUUCUGUGUAUGCCAGUGAGGGUGCUUCCAGAAGACACUAACAUUUAAAUAGUUAGACUGAAUAACAAACAUUUUCACCUGUGUGGGCAGGCAUCACCAAUCUGUUGAGGGCCCAAAUAUUUCUGUUUGAGCUGAGAUAGGCCUCAUCUCCUACCCCUGGACAUCAGGGCUUCUGGUUCUUAAGCCUCUGACUCCAUUGUCUGACAGAGACAUACUAUCCCCUCGCCCUUGACCAGUUCUCAGACCUUUGGGCUUGAACUGAAUUAUGCCAUUGGGCUUUUUGAUUCUCUAGCUUGCAGAUGACUUCUCAGCUUCCAUAAUCACAAGAGCUUGAUUCCCAUAACGAGCCCCCCAUGCAUUAUAACAGAUGAAAAAAAUUCUUAUCAGUCAAUGAGGUUGUAGCUAUUGUAAGUCACAGUGCAAUGUGUUACAUGUUUAUGGUGAUACGGGUGUAAAAAAGCCUACUGUGCUGUUAGCUGUAUAAAAAUACAGUCCAUGCCACUAUGUACAUAACACCUGACAGUAAAGGACUGGUACUUUACUGGUAUUGGUUUAUGUUAUUUACUAUACUGUACUUUUUGUCAUUCUUUUAGUGGGUACUCCUUCUACUUAUUUUUUUUAAGUUUAUGAUUUUUUUUAAGUUUACAGUUUGCUGUAUUAUACCAGCAGCACCCUCAUACAUCUCCUGUUUACCAUGUCUCAUGAUUGCAUCAACAAACCCGUUGAGUAAUUGACCUACACCAUUUAGGUUUGUGUAAAUGCACCCUAGGAUAUUGAUACAACAACAAAAUUGCUUACAGAAGCAUUUCUUAGAAUGUAUUCUCAUUAUUUGUGUGUGUGCAUGUACAAUCUCCUAUUGGAGCUGGAGGUGUAAUUCAGUGGGAGAACACUCAUCUGGCAUGCAGGAAGCUGUGGGUUUGCUCCCCAGCAGAGCAUGUGCAUGCACGCGCACACAUACA